UCCAGGAGGCCAGUCCCACAGAGGCCCCGGCUUUUCUCAGAAAGAUCUGCUGCGAAGCAGGGACAGCCACGCCAGAAAUGCUGCAAAAUGCAGGCGCAAGCACUUGCAAGUGGUGGCUUUGUGCUUCCCAUCCCUACAGCCUCGGUUUGCCAAACUCUGUAACGUCCAGAUGCGGCCAGAGCCCCUCCAUGGGGGGCUCCGGGCUGGAGUCAAAGGAGUGGGGGCAUCCAGAGAGGACAGCCUGCAGGGCUGCUGGUGGUGCUGACCGACGACGGGUGAUCCGGUCAUCAUUCCAUCGGGUACUUGAGACAGCAGUGAACUAAACACAACAAGCUGUGCCCUUGGGGAGCUUCCUUCUCAUGCAGGAGGACAACGAGUGAAUGAGAAAAACAUUUGUAUGUCAGAUGGUGACAGGUGCUAUGGAGAAAAAUAAGGCAGAGAAGAGGGGAAAUGAGGGUUGGAAUGGGGGACUGUGAAGUUAAAGGGGAGUUCGGAUUAGGGAAACUGAGGCCUGGGCAGAGCUAUGGAGGCUCCAGGCCAUGAGUGAAACAGAGAAUGUUUGGGUGGGAAGGGGCUGCAGAGGGAAUUUUGUUAUAUCUGACAGGUGGGGAGACUGAGGCCAAGAGAGGGAGAAUGGCCUGCCCAGGUGAAAGCCUAGAGUUCCAGGUCCACCCAUUCCACCCUGUUGCCCCACCACCUCCUGAACACCACUCAGUCCUCCCUCAACUUAGCAGGACUGCGAACUCACCAGAUGCUGUCUGCUUUUUUUCUGGGCAUGUUUUCUAGAAUACCUUUCAGUUACCAUGUGUGGUUACCCAGUUCUGGCCAGUGGAUAUUGGGCAGUAGUGACAUGUACCAAUUCCAGGCCUGGCUCCUAAAAACCUCCUAUAUGAUUUUCCAUGCACUUCGCUUUUCCUCAUCUGUGCAAUUAGAAGCCCAGGACUCAGAGCUCUAGCGCAUGAAGAAGUCACUAAAAGAAGGAAGACUGGGUCCCCACAUGACUGCAUGGAGGCGAGCACCUCGUCACCCUGCCUUGGACUAUGGCGUGAGGGAAUCUGGCGCGUUGAGCCAUUGCCAUUUGGGGCUUGUUUGUCACAGCAGCUUUCUUACCCUAAUUAAUACACUCCCCGUGACUGAACCUAAUGCAAAUGCGUAUCCCACCAGCCUUAGCUGCCAACACUAUGUGGGGUGGAUCUGACGUUUCUGUAGACCCUUUCUCACUUUGCCUGGUCAUAGCUCCCAUUUUUGUUAGAGGAGCCACCCCUCUUCUUGGUGAAGUUAUUUCUUCUGCUGCCUCCCCACCACCACCCAGAGGUGGGCGUGUGAUCCAGAUGGCCAUUCUGAGCACACAGUCCUCUUGACCAGGUGAUGGCUUCAGGGAUACAUACAUAAUGCAGUAAGAGUCUUGCUUAAGAUUCAGGCCGUGGAUGCUGGAAAGUGAGUCUCUCUUCCUCUGAGAUACGGAGCGAUGAGGACAAGGGAGCCUGAAGCUGCUGGAGCUGUUGCCCAAGGACACUGGGAAGAAGCUGUUGGUGGAAUGAAAGCGACAUGUAGAGGAAAGUAUGCCAAAGAGCCAGAGAGAAAAUCACUCUCUGCCACGUUGUUCCAAUCUUACCUGAAGCCAGACCUUCCUUCAAUUUCCCCAGUUACAAGAGCCAAUUAAUUAUCUUAACAAAAAUGGAUCCACUUUGAAUUUUGCCACUUAGAGUAGAAGGAGUUCUGAUUAAUAAAUCAUU
Lemur catta (Ring-tailed lemur) is the source of this 1736-nucleotide long non-coding RNA. RefSeq lists it as uncharacterized. NCBI's taxonomy places the organism in Eukaryota, Metazoa, Chordata, Mammalia, Primates, Lemuridae. The record is from RefSeq and is a predicted model, not a curated record. The transcript has 3 exons.